GGUUUCGUGGUGUAGUGCUUAUCACGUUCGCUUUACACGCGAAAGGUCCCCGGUUCGAUCCCGGGCGGAACCA
Molecule: transfer RNA, 73 nt
Filed under: Ixodes scapularis (black-legged tick)
Lineage: Eukaryota; Metazoa; Arthropoda; Arachnida; Ixodida; Ixodidae
Description: tRNA-Val
Rfam family: tRNA
About the family: Transfer RNA (tRNA) molecules are approximately 80 nucleotides in length. Their secondary structure includes four short double-helical elements and three loops (D, anti-codon, and T loops).
Source: RNAcentral